GACAGAGGCCUCGAGCGUUAGGCGGAAUCACUGGGCUUAAAGCGUGUGUAGGCGGGCCCGUAAGUGUCUUGUGAAAUCCCACGGCUCAACCGUGGAACUGCUGGGCAUACUGCGGGUCUUGGGCCAACUAGGGGCAGCCGGAACAAGCGGUGGAGCGGUGAAAUGCGUAGAUACUGGGAGGAACACCGGUGGCGAAGGCGGCUACCUGGACCGGAACUGACGCUGAGGCGCGAAAGCGUGGGUAGCAAACAGG
Molecule: ribosomal RNA, 253 nt
Filed under: uncultured bacterium
Lineage: Bacteria
Description: partial 16S ribosomal RNA
Rfam family: Bacterial small subunit ribosomal RNA
Source: RNAcentral